CGCUGGCGGCACGCCUAACACAUGCAAGUCGAACGAAGUAGCAAUACUUAGUGGCAGACGGGUGAGUAACAUGUAGGUAUCUACCCUUUGGCCUGGAAUAACACGAGGAAACUUGUGCUAAUACCGGAUAAGUCUUUACGGAGAAAGCUUUAUGCACCAUUGGAUGAGCCUGCACUUGAUUAGUUUGUUGGUGGGGUAAUGGCCUACCAAGACUUUGAUCAAUAGCUGAUUUGAGAGGAUGAUCAGCCACAUUGGGACUGAGACACGGCCCAAACUCCUACGGGAGGCAGCAGUGGGGAAUCUUGCACAAUGGAGGAAACUCUGAUGCAGCGAUGCCGCGUGAGUGAAGAAGGCCCUUGGGUUGUAAAGCUCUUUCGUCGGGGAAGAAAAUGACUGUACCCGAAUAAGAAGGUCCGGCUAACUUCGUGCCAGCAGCCGCGGUAAUACGAAGGGACCUAGCGUAGUUCGGAAUUACUGGGCUUAAAGAGUUCGUAGGUGGUUGAAAUAGUUGGUGGUGAAAUCCCAGAGCUUAACUCUGGAACUGCCAUCAAAACUUUUCAGCUAGAGUAUGAUAGAGGAAAGCAGAAUUUCUAGUGUAGAGGUGAAAUUCGUAGAUAUUAGAAAGAAUACCAAUUGCGAAGGCAGCUUUCUGGAUCAUUACUGACACUGAGGAACGAAAGCAUGGGUAGCGAAGAGGAUUAGAUACCCUCGUAGUCCAUGCCGUAAACGAUGUGUGUUAGACGUUGGAAAUUUAUUUUCAGUGUCGCAGCGAAAGCGAUAAACACACCGCCUGGGGAGUACGACCGC
RNAcentral lists this ribosomal RNA (807 nucleotides) under uncultured Pelagibacteraceae bacterium. Its description in RNAcentral is "bacterial SSU rRNA". It matches the Rfam family "Bacterial small subunit ribosomal RNA", at positions 34 to 889 of the family's 1533-position model. The record is from RNAcentral. Lineage: Bacteria; Pseudomonadati; Pseudomonadota; Alphaproteobacteria; Candidatus Pelagibacterales; Candidatus Pelagibacteraceae.